This 193-nucleotide unclassified non-coding RNA is filed under the name plant metagenome. RNAcentral describes it as "partial contains small subunit ribosomal RNA, internal transcribed spacer 1, and 5.8S ribosomal RNA". The record is from RNAcentral.
UCUCCGUUGGUGAACCAGCGGAGGGAUCAUUACAGGACUCGCAAGACUCCUUACGCCCUGUGAACCUUACUGUAUACGCGUUGCUUCGGCGGGUCCGCCCGCCGGCAGCAUACCACAUUCUGUUUCUCUGCGUUGGCAUCUCGAGAAAAAAGCAAAUAAGUUAAAACUUUCAACAACGGAUCUCUUGGUUCUG